Molecule: transfer RNA, 86 nt
Filed under: Longilinea sp.
Lineage: Bacteria; Bacillati; Chloroflexota; Anaerolineae; Anaerolineales; Anaerolineaceae
Description: tRNA-Ser
Rfam family: tRNA
About the family: Transfer RNA (tRNA) molecules are approximately 80 nucleotides in length. Their secondary structure includes four short double-helical elements and three loops (D, anti-codon, and T loops). Further hydrogen bonds mediate the characteristic L-shaped molecular structure. tRNAs have two regions of fundamental functional importance: the anti-codon, which is responsible for specific mRNA codon recognition, and the 3' end, to which the tRNAs corresponding amino acid is attached (by aminoacyl-tRNA synthetases). tRNAs cope with the degeneracy of the genetic code in two manners: having more than one tRNA (with a specific anti-codon) for a particular amino acid; and 'wobble' base-pairing, i.e. permitting non-standard base-pairing at the 3rd anti-codon position.
Source: RNAcentral
GGAGAGGUCGCGUAGUUGGCCUAGCGCGCACGCCUGGAGAGCGUGUUUCCCGCAAGGGAACGUGGGUUCAAAUCCCACCCUCUCCG